AUGCAGGUAAAACAGUUUCUAUUAACUGGACUGUAUUAACUAAAAAGAGCUACACAAAGUUUUUACUUUAUCCUCACCUGCCAAUUUGAAAACUAUUGGUAAAAUCAUUAUUCAAUAGGCCAAUAUUUUCUAAAUUAGUAAGACUUACCUUACAAAAGUUAUCAGAUGAUGCUGAUAUUUCUCUUUCAAAGACUAAAACAACAGUUUUAGUCCUGAGCUGGUUGGUUCAUAUAAUAACUAAUAUACAUACUACAACUUUGAAUAUUAAUAGAUUGGCUGAAGAUUUUAGGUUUGAAGAUUAGUUUGAAAGCAAUGCAUUUGCUCCCGUGAAUCAUGAUGCAGAUUAUCCCCAUGUGUUUUACUGCCUGUCUAUGAAUGCAAAUGUUGUUACAGAAAAUAUGCUUGAAAUGUCAGCACAGUGUGCAGUUAGUAUUGCAUCAUCAUGCUUCAGCAUGUGAUACCUGUAUGAUGACAUAUUUCAACUACUCAGAUAUGUUACUGUAAUAAAAAUGUUUAACAUAAGAAAGC
RNAcentral lists this long non-coding RNA (528 nucleotides) under Bos taurus (domestic cattle). RNAcentral's name for it is "long non-coding RNA NONBTAT018532". Lineage: Eukaryota; Metazoa; Chordata; Mammalia; Artiodactyla; Bovidae. The record is from RNAcentral.